RNAcentral lists this ribosomal RNA (465 nucleotides) under uncultured bacterium. RNAcentral's name for it is "partial 16S ribosomal RNA". It matches the Rfam family "Bacterial small subunit ribosomal RNA", at positions 338 to 795 of the family's 1533-position model. The record is from RNAcentral.
CCUACGGGAGGCUGCAGUAGGGAAUCUUCCACAAUGGGCGAAAGCCUGAUGGAGCAACGCCGCGUGGGUGAAGAAGGUCUUCGGAUCGUAAAACCCUGUUGUUAGAGAAGAAAGUGCGUGAGAGUAACUGUUCACGUUUCGACGGUAUCUAACCAGAAAGCCACGGCUCACUACGUCCCAGCAGCCGCGGUAAUACAUGGGUGGCAAGCGUUGUCCGGAUUUAUGGGGCGUAAAGGGAACGCAGGCGGUCUUUUAAGUCUGAUGUGAAAGCCUCCGGCUUAACCGGAGUCGGGCAGUGGAAACUGGGAGACUUGAGUGCAGAAGAGGCGAGUGGAACGCCAUGUGUAGCGGUGAAAUGCGUAGAUAUAUGGAAGAACACCAGUGGCGAAAGCGGCGCUCUGGUCUGUAACUGACGCUGAGGUUCGAAAGCGUAGGUAGCAAACAGGAUUAGAUACCCCUGUAGUC